Molecule: ribosomal RNA, 434 nt
Filed under: uncultured bacterium
Lineage: Bacteria
Description: bacterial SSU rRNA
Rfam family: Bacterial small subunit ribosomal RNA
Source: RNAcentral
ACGCGAAGAACCUUACCCAGAUUUGACAUGCAGAAGACCNGGUUUAGAGAUAAACCCUCCCUUCGGGGCUUCUGCACAGGUGCUGCAUGGCUGUCGUCAGCUCGUGCCGUGAGGUGUUGGGUUAAGUCCCGCAACGAGCGCAACCCUUAUCAUUAGUUGCCAACAUGUUAUGGUGGGAACUCUAGUGAGACUGCCUGGGUUAACCAGGAGGAAGGUGAGGAUGACGUCAAGUCCGCAUGGCCCUUAUAUCUGGGGCUACACACGUGCUACAAUGGGCGGUACAAAAGGUAGCGAAGCCGUGAGGUGGAGCAAAUCCCUAAAACCGUUCUCAGUUCAGAUUGUAGUCUGCAACUCGACUACAUGAAGUUGGAAUUGCUAGUAAUGGCGGGUCAGCAACACCGCCGUGAAUACGUUCCCGGGUCUUGUACACACCG